This is a non-coding RNA of Poecilia reticulata (guppy), 469 nucleotides long. NCBI's taxonomy places the organism in Eukaryota, Metazoa, Chordata, Actinopteri, Cyprinodontiformes, Poeciliidae. The record is from RefSeq and is a predicted model, not a curated record.
UUGUCAGGGUCUGUGUUUGUUCCCCUUGUUUGUGCCUUAGUUCAUUUCCUUUAGUUAUUAUUUACUGGUCUCCGAGCCGCUAUUCCUUGGACAUCCACCAGAGGUYACCUAUGUGCCACCCCUGGGAAGCGGCAGAGUUCAACCCGGGCACACACCUGCAGCUCGUUGAGAAGGCUCCUGCCCUGGAUAUAAGCAGCAGCGCCACUCCGUCUCAUCGCCUGAGUGUUUGCUCACCUCGAUAUCCAGCUGUCUUCCCGUUGUUCCCCGAGACCAGUUACCCCGAGUCUGUGUGAGUCUGUCUCCCCGUUGUGGAUCACCUGCCUCCUGUGUCUUCCCCCGACGCUACCGGUGUUGCCGGUUUUGACGCCACCCCUCGUGUGCUCGUCUUCUCCCUGUCGUGGAUCCUUCUCCGGCGAAAUCCCCUUCGGAGUGUUCCGGGUCAGGAGACCCACGUCCGAACCUCACCGGA